GGUCGUAGCAAGUAUUCAAGUAAGAACAUAGAAGGCUGAGAUGGGGUGGGGUUCCAUGCGAAUAGGAGUCGAAUAUGGGCCAAGCGGUCCAAAAUUAUCUGGCAAAUUGGGACUGAGGCGGUGUUUAUGACAUUGUCCGUCCGCAGGAUUCGCGCAGUAAUGUGCAAAGCACUGUGGCAUUGUAGCCCCCUGUACGGAAAGGGAGUCGAGUUAAUAUUCCCGACCUUAACCACAGAAAUUGGUGUAUUUUGAGUCUUUGGCUCGAAUUAAGCCCGGUGCGGUGACGCGAUCAACCUCGAAGACAUCGGCGAGAGUUCUAGGAAGAGUCCUCUUUUCUCUACCAGCAAUCUACCCACUCCUUAUAAUCGGCUUGAUCAGGGACAGGGGGUAGCCUGCAUAAAGCAUUACCUUUAUGGUAUCCAAAACGCUUUUGUAGACCAUAAGCAAUAAGAAGAGAAGCAGUUUGAUUUUCCUGGCAUCCUAUACUCAUAUCUACAGCAGCUAUUUAAGGUAUACGGCCUUUGAAAACU
Molecule: non-coding RNA, 530 nt
Organism: Schistosoma haematobium
Lineage: Eukaryota; Metazoa; Platyhelminthes; Trematoda; Strigeidida; Schistosomatidae
Source: Rfam